This 468-nucleotide ribosomal RNA is filed under the name uncultured bacterium. RNAcentral describes it as "partial 16S ribosomal RNA". It matches the Rfam family "Bacterial small subunit ribosomal RNA", at positions 28 to 507 of the family's 1533-position model. The record is from RNAcentral.
GACGAACGCUGGCGGCGUGCUUAACACAUGCAAGUCGAACGGAAAGGCCCUGCUUUUGUGGGGUGCUCGAGUGGCGAACGGGUGAGUAACACGUGAGUAACCUGCCCUUGACUUUGGGAUAACUUCAGGAAACUGGGGCUAAUACCGGAUAGGAGCUCCUGCUGCAUGGUGUGGGUUGGAAAGUUUCGGCGGUUGGGGAUGUACUCGCGGCUUAUCAGCUUGUUGGUGGGGUAGUGGCUUACCAAGUCUUUGACGGGUAGCCGGCCUGAGAGGUUGACCGGCCACAUUGGGACUGAGAUACGGCCCAGACUCCUACGGGAGGCAGCAGUGGGGAAUAUUGCACAAUGGGCGGAAGCCUGAUGCAGCAACGCCGCGUGCGGGAUGACGGCCUUCGGGUUGUAAACCGCUUUCGCCUGUGACGAAGCGUGAGUGACGGUAAUGGGUAAAGAAGCACCGGCUAACUACGUG